ACGAAAACCUUACCUACCCUUGACAUGUCCGGAAUCCCGAAGAGAUUUGGGAGUGCUCGCAAGAGAGCCGGAACACAGGUGCUGCAUGGCUGUCGUCAGCUCGUGUCGUGAGAUGUUGGGUUAAGUCCCGCAACGAGCGCAACCCUUGUCAUUAGUUGCCAUCAUUUGGUUGGGCACUCUAAUGAGACUGCCGGUCGACAAACCGGAGGAAGGUGGGGAUGACGUCAAGUCCUCAUGGCCCUUAUGGGUAGGGCUUCACACGUCAUACAAUGGUCGGUACAGAGGGUUGCCAACCCGCGAGGGGGAGCUAAUCCCACAAAGCCGAUCGUAGUCCGGAUCGCAGUCUGCAACUCGACUGCGUGAAGUCGGAAUCGCUAGUAAUCGUGGAUCAGCAUGUCACGGUGAAUACGUUCCCGGGUCUU
RNAcentral lists this ribosomal RNA (422 nucleotides) under uncultured Rhodocyclaceae bacterium. Its description in RNAcentral is "bacterial SSU rRNA". It matches the Rfam family "Bacterial small subunit ribosomal RNA", at positions 961 to 1382 of the family's 1533-position model. Lineage: Bacteria; Pseudomonadati; Pseudomonadota; Betaproteobacteria; Rhodocyclales; Rhodocyclaceae. The record is from RNAcentral.